GGGUGAGUAAUGCUUGGGAAUAUGCCUUAUGGUGGGGGACAACAGUUGGAAACGACUGCUAAUACCGCACGAUGUCUACGGACCAAAGUGGGGGACCUUCGGGCCUCACGCCAUAAGAUUAGCCCAAGUGGGAUUAGCUAGUUGGUGAGGUAAUGGCUCACCAAGGCGACGAUCCCUAGCUGGUUUGAGAGGAUGAUCAGCCACACUGGGACUGAGACACGGCCCAGACUCCUACGGGAGGCAGCAGUGGGGAAUAUUGCACAAUGGGCGCAAGCCUGAUGCAGCCAUGCCGCGUGUGUGAAGAAGGCCUUCGGGUUGUAAAGCACUUUCAGUAAGGAGGAAAGGUUAAGUGUUAAUAGCACUUAGCUGUGACGUUACUUACAGAAGAAGCACCGGCUAACUCCGUGCCAGCAGCCGCGGUAAUACGGAGGGUGCGAGCGUUAAUCGGAAUUACUGGGCGUAAAGCG
RNAcentral lists this ribosomal RNA (467 nucleotides) under Pseudoalteromonas mariniglutinosa. RNAcentral's name for it is "bacterial SSU rRNA". It matches the Rfam family "Bacterial small subunit ribosomal RNA", at positions 104 to 567 of the family's 1533-position model. Lineage: Bacteria; Pseudomonadati; Pseudomonadota; Gammaproteobacteria; Alteromonadales; Pseudoalteromonadaceae. The record is from RNAcentral.